GACGAACGCUGGCGGCGCGCCUAACACAUGCAAGUCGAACGGAGCUUAGAGAGCUUGCUUUUUAAGCUUAGUGGCGAACGGGUGAGUAACGCGUGAGUAACCUGCCCUAGAGUGGGGGACAACAGUUGGAAACGACUGCUAAUACCGCAUAAGCCCACGGUACCGCAUGGUACUGAGGGAAAAGGAUUUAUUCGCUUUAGGAUGGACUCGCGUCCAAUUAGCUAGUUGGUGAGGUAACGGCCCACCAAGGCGACGAUUGGUAGCCGGACUGAGAGGUUGAACGGCCACAUUGGGACUGAGACACGGCCCAGACUCCUACGGGAGGCAGCAGUGGGGGAUAUUGCACAAUGGGGGAAACCCUGAUGCAGCGACGCCGCGUGGAGGAAGAAGGUUUUCGGAUUGUAAACUCCUGUCGUUAGGGACGAUAAUGACGGUACCUAACAAGAAAGCACCGGCUAACUACGUGCCAGCAGCCGCGGUAAAACGUAGGGUGCAAGCGUUGUCCGGAAUUACUGGGUGUAAAGGGAGCGCAGGCGGGAAGACAAGUUGGAAGUGAAAACCAUGGGCUCAACCCAUGAAUUGCUUUCAAAACUGUUUUUCUUGAGUAGUGCAGAGGUAGAUGGAAUUCCCGGUGUAGCGGUGGAAUGCGUAGAUAUCGGGAGGAACACCAGUGGCGAAGGCGGUCUACUGGGCACCAACUGACGCUGAGGCUCGAAAGCAUGGGUAGCAAACAGGAUUAGAUACCCUGGUAGUCCAUGCCGUAAACG
RNAcentral lists this ribosomal RNA (767 nucleotides) under uncultured bacterium. Its description in RNAcentral is "bacterial SSU rRNA". It matches the Rfam family "Bacterial small subunit ribosomal RNA", at positions 28 to 808 of the family's 1533-position model. The record is from RNAcentral.